CAGCUCUCCGAGUGGUAGGGACGAUUAUUGGGCUUAAAGCGUCCGUAGCCGGCCUGGCAAGUCUCCCGUUAAAUCCAACGAUCCAAUCGUUGGACUGCGGGAGAUACUGUCAGGCUAGGGGGCGGGAGAGGCCGACGGUAUUCUCGGGGUAGGGGUAAAAUCCUAUAAUCCCGGGAAGACCACCAGUGGCGAAGGCGGUCGGCUAGAACGCGCCCGACGGUGAGGGACGAAAGCUGGGGGAGCGAACCGGAUUAGAUACCCGGGUAGUCCCAGCCGUAAACGAUGCGGGCUAGGUGUUGGAGCGGCUACGAGCCGCUUCAGUGCCGCAGGGAAACCAUUAAGCCCGCCGCCUGGGGAGUACGGCCGCAAGGCUGAAACUUAAAGGAAUUGGCGGGGGAGCACCACAAGGGGUGAAGCUUGCGGUUUAAUUGGAGUCAACGCCGGGAAACUUACCGGGGGCGACAGCAGGAUGAAGGCCAGAUUGAAGGUCUUGCUGGACGAGCUGAGAGGAGGUGCAUGGCCGUCGCCAGUUCGUGCCGUGAGGUGUCCUGUUAAGUCAGGCAACGAUCGAGACCCACACCCCCUGUUGCCACCAAGGAGGUUUCUCCAAGGGGCACUCUGGGGGGACCGCCGCCGAAAAGGCGGAGGAAGGAGUGGGCCACGGCAGGUCAGUAUGCCCCGAAUCCCCCGGGCCACACGCGAGCUGCAAUGGCUGGGACAGAGGGUUCCAACCCCGAGAGGGGAAGGCAAUCCCUAAACCCAGCCGUAGUUGGGAUCGAGGGCUGAAACUCGCCCUCGUGAACAUGGAAUCCCUAGUAAUCGCGCGUCAUCAUCGCGCGGUGAAUACGUCCCUGCUCCUU
RNAcentral lists this ribosomal RNA (860 nucleotides) under uncultured organism. Its description in RNAcentral is "bacterial SSU rRNA". It matches the Rfam family "Archaeal small subunit ribosomal RNA", at positions 477 to 1338 of the family's 1478-position model. The record is from RNAcentral.